UGGUUUUCACGCAGAACAGUCUUGAUGACUGUUCCGGAUAGCGGAGCAACCCGAGUGACUGUUCCGAGUGAGUGUUCCAGCGGCAGAGAUUUUUUAGGAAACUACAAUCAUUACGGGAUUUGCCCUAAUUAUCCAUAUUUUCUCUCCCAGCCGCCUGUGGCUUUGAUAUAUCAUAUUUUCUGUUUCUCUUUAUCAUACUACGCUAUUCUAGACAGAAGAAAACCAUUGGAGACUUUUGUGCUUUUGGAUUGUAAAGGGAGAAGGCUCCAUCUCUCUCACCAUAGAGAAGAUUAUCCUGAACCCU
RNAcentral lists this long non-coding RNA (304 nucleotides) under Brassica napus (rape). Its description in RNAcentral is "long non-coding RNA (BNAP_LNC007798)". Lineage: Eukaryota; Viridiplantae; Streptophyta; Magnoliopsida; Brassicales; Brassicaceae. The record is from RNAcentral.